This is a long non-coding RNA of Vigna angularis (adzuki bean), 964 nucleotides long. RefSeq lists it as uncharacterized. Lineage: Eukaryota; Viridiplantae; Streptophyta; Magnoliopsida; Fabales; Fabaceae. The record is from RefSeq and is a predicted model, not a curated record. The transcript has 2 exons.
UUUUUGUAUGAAAAAAAAAUUUCACUAUUUGAAAAUUAUUUCUCUUCUGGAUUUUUUAAUUUUGGAUUGUGUUAUUUAUGUUUUUUUAUAUGAAAAAUACUUUCAAAUCAUAUAAUCCAUAAUUUUAGUUUUUUUUAAGAAAAUCUAGUGUGUAAUUUGGAUUUUUUUUUGGAUUGCACAUCCAUAAGUAAUUCUUUUACAGGGGUUUCUCCCUGCACCUCAAAACCUUCUCCUUUCUACACUUCCAUUUUUUUUGGUUAAUGACAAAAUUACCUUUCUAAUAAAGGUAGAAAUCUUUUUUUUUUCUCCUAUAAUUAACUCCACCCACCCACAACCACCCACUUUUAUUCAUUUUGUUACUCUAGCGGCCACAUCUCCUCUCCACCCUUUUUGCUCUCGACCCCUGCACUCCCGAAUUUCAUUUUGUUAUUCAUUUUGUUUAUGAGGAACACGAGGAUGUUUUUUAGCAGUAGAAUGAUGUUGUUGAGGACCAUGAGGAUGAUGUUGUUGAGGACCAUGAGGAUGAUGUUGUUGAGGACCAUGAGGAUGAUGUUGUUAAGGACCAUGAGGAUGAUGUUGAAGAACAACAUGAAGUAGGGUUGAAUUUAUGAGCACUUCUUGAGAUAUGAAUAAGGCAUCUGCUUCCUACUUAUGAUGAAGAUAGAUUUCGUGCCACAUGUUGGGUGAUAGGGAGGCCAAUUUCCAGCUUAUUUGAGGCCAAGACACAUUUGGAUGGACUGACAUAUGAUGGGAUGAUCUGGACCCCAUAUGAAUCAUAUCGAAUUAGUCGUCCACAUCUAACCUUUAGUAUGUUUUAUAGGUGAAUCAAAGUCGGUAUGAUUGUACACAAACAUCUACUUGAACGCGUGUUAAGGCAAUUCGCAUGAGUAGUUGAUUCUGCAAUCGCCAAACAUUGCUUAAGAAGUUGACAUAAUAACAAUUUAUGAUUGUUGGUUUCGUUUUA